This 203-nucleotide ribosomal RNA is filed under the name uncultured bacterium. RNAcentral's name for it is "partial 16S ribosomal RNA". It matches the Rfam family "Bacterial small subunit ribosomal RNA", at positions 1290 to 1500 of the family's 1533-position model. The record is from RNAcentral.
AGUUCGGAUUGGAGUCUGNAACCCGACUCCAUGAAGCUGGAUUCGCUAGUAAUCGCGCAUCAGCCACGGCGCGGUGAAUACGUUCCCGGGCCUUGUACACACCGCCCGUCAAGCCAUGGAAGCCGGGGGUGCCUGAAGUGCGCUGCCGCAAGGAGCGCCCUAGGGUAAAACCGGUGACUGGGGCUAAGUCGUAACAAGGUACC